RNAcentral lists this ribosomal RNA (355 nucleotides) under uncultured bacterium. Its description in RNAcentral is "partial 16S ribosomal RNA". It matches the Rfam family "Bacterial small subunit ribosomal RNA", at positions 338 to 690 of the family's 1533-position model. The record is from RNAcentral.
CCUACGGGAGGCAGCAGUGAGGAAUCUUGGUCAAUGGGCGUAAGCCUGAACCAGCCAAGUCGCGUGAGGGAUGAAGGUUCUAUGGAUCGUACACCUCUUUUAUAAGGGAAUAAAGUGCGGGACGUGUCCCGUUUUGUAUGUACCUUUUGACUAAGGAUCGGCUAACUCCGUGCCAGCAGCCGCGGUAAUACGGAGGAUCCGAGCGUUAUCCGGAUUUAUUGGGUUUAAAGGGUGAGUAGGCGGCCUCUUAAGUGAGCGGUGAAAGUCUGUGGCUCAACCAUAGGAUUGCCGUUGAAAAUGGGAGGCUUGAGUAUGUUUGAGGCAGGCGGAAUGCGUGGUGUAGCGGUGAAAUGCU